GAUGGAAAGGACCCCUGAAGCCAGGGCUAAGGCACCCAAAGCAUCCAAGCAGUCCAAACAAGGCUUUAACAAUGAGUGGAAAACCACAUUCUCAUCAAGCAAGACCUCCUUCACCAAAGGCAGGGUUUCGAUCCUGAGGAAUAAGUACGACAUCUCCUGGGGCAAAUCCUCGAUCUCCUGGAGCAGAACCACAGUAACUUUGGGCAACGCUGGCAUAGCAGUGGGCAAAACAUCUGUCACACGAGGGGAGACCACGAGCUCACUCACCACUCUGACACUCACUCAUGGGACCAAGUCUGUGUCUGUGGUCAAAACCACCCUCAUCAGGGGCAAAGAAACGCACAGCAACGUCUACUGGGAUUUUCACACAUGAAUCCUGCACACACUUAAAAACCCAAGGAUAUGUCUGUCUGGUCAGUUUUAGCAGUCUUGGCAUAACCAGCAGGAUCAGAUGACACAGACAGACUCCUCACUGGCUGCAGCAUUGUGUAACACCGGCCAAUGCUGUAUUGAUCAUCCUGGACGGUUGCGGGGAGAAGUCCUGUGUCCUGGAUUCGUCACAAAACAGCCAUGAGAAAGAAAAAAAGCUUUGUUCUCGGAUGAACAUUAAAAUAAGAAUAAUAAUUGGGUCCAAAUCCAAAUAGAGUAAAAGAUGUAAACAUUUAAAAACUACAGCAGGGUGUGUCCCUCUCACUCUCUCACCCAUCCCCUCUGUGAACAAGUGUCCAGGAAAAGUGUUUCGUGGUCAGAGGAGGUGUAGAGGGAUCAGGGUGAACGAUGGACAGUGAGGGCGUGAGGCGAAGAAGCAGCUAGAGUGUAAAUCAGAUGGUUUGAGCAUGACGGGGGGGGAAAAGUGAGGAAAACCAGGGUGUUACUAAUGGUGAGAGAGCAGGCUGAUCUCUGAGAGACCUUAAGUCAAAUCUAGAGAAAUCUCUGCUGUAACUUCAUAUACUUGACAGUGGUGGUGUAUCAGGGGAAAUGCAAAAAAAAAAAGAAAUUGAACCAGAAAUCACAAUUAUUCCAAGACAUGAAGAUUUGUAUUAUUUCUUCAAAAGUAAGAGAGGUGGAGAGCGGCACGCAAUGAUGCAACCGUCAGCCGUUACUACUCCUCGGAAUAAAAAAACAAAACAAAGAGCCACCCACUUGCAGAAGCAUGUCCAGCUGAUGUGAAUAUGUAUUUGUGUUUACUAGAGGACAGAACAUUUUAUUCUCUCCUCUCGAGCCACUCCCCCACCCGCCACAAGAGCUCAGGACGCAGCUCCUCUCCUCUCCCUCCCUUGUUGCUUUUGUUUACAGAGGACCCACACCUCACGUCAGACCUGUCCAGUCUCACUCAUCUGUCGCCGUGUUAAGAUGGAACUUGUUGCUAGUGGCAACAGCACAGUCGACACUGCUGUCUCUGUGGAUAAAUAAAUAUCUCCAAGUCUCUUUACUCUAAAAAGCCAUUAAGCUAAAUUCCUUUUGGAUUUUUGGGUGUUGUCUGAUAUUCAUGUGUCAUCUUCAGCCUGAAGACUGACACCAGCCUCUGCAGGAUGAUACAUAGGAUACGUACGUAGAAUUUAAAACCAUUUGGAUGAAAUUAAGUUGUAAGGUUUUAAUUUUUUCCUGCCAUUAGUAUUUGAAUGAUGAGUCUUGGUUCCAGUUUAUUUACAGACGACCUGUUGUAAUGCCUCCGAGCCCCCUGGCCUCAUGCAGAAAUUGUUCCCUGUGGUGGUGCAAAUGUUUGAUCAGGUUUCCCUUUGUUAUACUCACUCGUCUAUUGCUGUACAUAUGUGUCUCUAAUUCAAAUGAAUCGUAAAAACACUGUAAACAAUGUAAUGAAACCCAGAGUAGAUAUAAAGGUGAGUUUCUGUUCAAGAUCGAGUAAAAUUCACUUUUAAAUCAGACUGCGACGGCAGUUUGUCUGUCUGUUAUGUGAUCUCAAGUGACGGACAGUGUUGAGGAACAUGAGACAACAGCAUGUGACAAAUUAACAGACAAAGACGUCCCUCAAAAUGUCAUAACUUCCUCAAAUGAACUGUUGGGAACUGAAAAAGGUAAUCUGUGUGUUCUGAUUGUAUGUUAAACAUGUAUGAGGGGGGAAAAGUUCAGAUUUUAUAUAUACACAGAUGUAUAAGGGGAAAAUAAAAGCUUGGCGUACUUGGUGUACUAAUGAAGCACUAACAUCAGCUUAGCUACUGUCGCCAGGCAGCCAUUGCAGCUGUGGAAGCAGCUGACGUGUCAGUCGGCACGACAGCGCCUGGAUCCUGUGUCCUGCAUCCUGUGUCCUGCAUCCUGCCCCAGCCAGAGGGUCACUGCUGAUUCAGAGUCUCUCUCCUAUUUCAAUGCACGUUCACAACAACCUAUGACUACUUGAAUGAACUCUGAUCAGAACGGCAUCAAGAAGAAAAAGAACAUAAAAAAAAAAGAAAGAAAAACAGGUCAGAAACGUCAUGAAGGAUGAGACAGGCAGCGACACUGACAUGCCUGGAAGAAUAUUACCCUCGAUGUGAACCUAAUCAAUGUCAUGUUGUUCAGUAAGAAAUGAAAGAAACUGUGUAGUAAGUGUUACUGAUGGAAAGCUGUUUGAGAUUUAUUUCUGUCUUGUCCGGCGUUUGUCCUUAAAAUGCUUAAAAUGAUUAAAUCAGUCUUAGCACCUUCAGGUCCGACUGAAAACAACACUAAUAUUUCUCUGUGUUGUGAGUCCACUGUGAGAACUUCUCUUCUGUUGCAGGUAUACACUCUGUGUGGUGUUGUUGUUGUGUGUUAUUGCUUCACUGCACGUCACUAAAAUUCAGUUGGACAGAAAGGUCCUGGAAUAAAAACGCUUGAUUGUG
This is a non-coding RNA of Paralichthys olivaceus (Japanese flounder), 2816 nucleotides long. The record is from RefSeq and is a predicted model, not a curated record. Lineage: Eukaryota; Metazoa; Chordata; Actinopteri; Pleuronectiformes; Paralichthyidae.